AGACAAUUUCAAAUUAAAUCAAAUAGGAGUUAAUAAAGACAUAUGUCUUUUAUUUGUAACAUCUUUUAUUCUUUAUUUAAAUUGAUGUUUGUGGUUUAAAUUAGUGCUUGUCGGAGGGCUUCAUUAGUAACCUCAAGUUAAAAGGGAUGAGACAUCAAGUUCUUACAGUUUUGUUAUCCAGAUGAAAUUCCCUCAAAAGUUGUAUAAACAUCCACCGUGUUCUUUUAAAGAUUGUUGAGAGUAAUACAAAGAAAAGAAUAAAAUAAUAAAUUGCAUUUUCCCUUUGUAACUAA
RNAcentral lists this long non-coding RNA (293 nucleotides) under Vitis vinifera (wine grape). RNAcentral describes it as "long non-coding RNA (VVIN_LNC003298)". Lineage: Eukaryota; Viridiplantae; Streptophyta; Magnoliopsida; Vitales; Vitaceae. The record is from RNAcentral.